GUGCUUGCUUUAGCAGCACAUAUAGUAAAAUUGGAAAGACACAGAGAGGAUUAGCAUGGCCCCUGUGCAAGGAUGACACAAAUUCAUAAAGCAUUUUAUCCAGAUUUU
This is a small nuclear RNA of Pipistrellus kuhlii (Kuhl's pipistrelle), 108 nucleotides long. The record is from RefSeq and is a predicted model, not a curated record. NCBI's taxonomy places the organism in Eukaryota, Metazoa, Chordata, Mammalia, Chiroptera, Vespertilionidae.